UUAUCCAUCUGACAUAUUCUGAUUCUUGGUUAUUGAAAGAAUUUACUCAGAAAUGAAACUACGAGAGACUCAGGUGAGAAGAAUGAGGAAAAAGAUUCAACUGUGUACAUCGGAAACUUCUACCCAGAAAUUCUAUGAACCUAAGUGAUUGAAAGUGAUGUAUUUGGAGUUCUGAAAUUUGGCGACUGAUAGAAAAUUUGGGAGUAAAAGAACUGGAUUUCUUAUGUUCUUACUGAGUGAAGAGUAGAGGUGCCUUUGGUUUCGAUAGGCGGGCUACGACGUUUAAGGUUUGAGUGACAGGUAACAUUGAUGUACGUGGAGUUGACUUGGGCGAAUGGGAGUUUAACGUUUGGGUCGAGUAAAGGGUUUUAACUUGUGUAUAGAAAGGUAACUGCCGGUAACUUUUUGGGAGCAGAUCUGUGUAGGUAGAACUUGGGAGUGAUGUACUUUUGUGUGUAAGUGAUGUACUAACUAAUGUAUAAUGCAUAACUAUCUAUCUCAAACUCUUUGUAUGUAAAUAGUUAGUAAUGUACUGAAGAUAGUUAUCUUGGGUCCAGAUCUGUUUACUCUUGUGCUGUUUUUA
Molecule: long non-coding RNA, 583 nt
Organism: Papaver somniferum (opium poppy)
Lineage: Eukaryota; Viridiplantae; Streptophyta; Magnoliopsida; Ranunculales; Papaveraceae
Exons: 3
Source: RefSeq, a predicted model, not a curated record